Molecule: long non-coding RNA, 1248 nt
Organism: Bos taurus (domestic cattle)
Lineage: Eukaryota; Metazoa; Chordata; Mammalia; Artiodactyla; Bovidae
Source: Ensembl
GAGAGUCAAAAUUCCAAAAGGACCAGGCCGAGUCACAUGGUUAUCUGCCCUACCAGAUAACAGGGAGUGGCCUAUUAAGAAGAUGACAAACUGCCCAGUGUGUCUGGCCUUUAUUUAUGGCAGCUGAAGUGCUGGAACAAGAGUCUAGGACAUGUGGCCUCACCAGGCCAGGCCAAGAGCAACUUCACAAGUCUUACUGGGAGUCUGUACAUUGUUUUGAAGUUAAUUAGAGAAUUAUCACUGGAUAGUUUUGAAUUUGAGAGUAUGAAAGAAAUACUGUGAUGGCAGCAUAAAGGAAGGUUGUUUGAAGGAAGUGGGACUGGAUAAAGAAAAACCAUUUAAGAUAGCACUGCAAAGAGAGGAGGAUGGCAUUAAAGCACUGACAGUUAGAGUUGAUAGGGAUGGCUUCAAGAAUUACUAGGAGGUAGAAUUCAUAGGACAUAGUGACUUCUGAAAUGUGGUGCCAGGGAGUGGAAGGAGCUAGGAUGGUCUCCCAGGCUUCUGUUUUAGGUGCUAUGUAGGUAGUAAUGCUAUUUAAAGACAAUAGGAAUAUCAGAAAUGGAACUGUUUUGCAAAAUGGGGAGUUUAGUCUUGGAUACUUUGAGUUUGAAGCACUUAUUGGGUCACUCAGUAGAAGAUGUACAGUAGAUUUAUGAAUCAGGAGCUCAUGAAAGAUCUGUCCUAUAAAAAUAAAAUUGAGACCCAUCAGCAUAUUGUUGAUGGUUGAUACCAUGAGAUUCAAUCAAAUUGUCAAGGAAGAACAAAAGCGGAGAAUAGAAGAAGAAUAGAAGAAGCACAUCUCUGACAUUUUUUCAAUGGACAAAGAAAAAGAUGGUUCUAGAAAACACUGAGAAGUGCUUUGAACUGUGGGACAAGAAUAAGAAGAAACUGAUGUAACAGAAGUCAAAAGAAAAGACAAAUUCAAGAAAGAAAACAGGACCAGUGGCAUCAACGCUACAGAGAGGUCAAGUACAAUAAGGACUAAUAAGCAUCCUUUGCAGGUGUCAAGGCCACAUUUACAGCUGAACGAGUUAGUCCCUAAUGAAGGAAGUGAAUAAAGUCUGUCUGACUUCAUACAGACCUGUGAUGAGUGCAAAUUACCAGAACAGAGACUCAGAAACCGGGCAAGAAAGACAUCCAGUGACACAAGUUGUUGGCAAAGAUAAAGAGAGUCUCAGAGGUCGGGUGUGAGCUUAUUUUUCAAACAUAUGCUCAAGGUUGGGGUGAAUGAAGAGAAAAGGUGAAUUG